GAUGAACGCUGGCGGCGUGCCUAAUACAUGCAAGUCGAGCGAACAGACGAGGAGCUUGCUCCUCUGACGUUAGCGGCGGACGGGUGAGUAACACGUGGGUAACCUACCUAUAAAACUGGGAUAACUUCGGGAAACCGGAGCUAAUACCGGAUAAUAUAUUUAACCGCAUGGUUCCAUAAUUAAAUACGGUUUUGCUGUCACUUAUAGAUGGAUCCGCGCCGACUUAGCUAGUUGGUAAGGUAACGGCUUACCAAGGCAACGAUGCGUAGCCGACCUGAGAGGGUGAUCGGCCACACUGGAACUGAGACACGGUCCAGACUCCUACGGGAGGCAGCAGUAGGGAAUCUUCCGCAAUGGGCGAAAGCUUGACGGAGCAACGCCGCGUGAGUGAUGAAGGUCUUCGGAUCGUAAAACUCUGUUAUUAGGGAAGAACAAAUGUGUAAGUAACUAUGCACGUCUUGACGGUACCUAAUCAGAAAGCCACGGCUAACUACGUG
This 497-nucleotide ribosomal RNA is filed under the name uncultured bacterium. Its description in RNAcentral is "partial 16S ribosomal RNA". It matches the Rfam family "Bacterial small subunit ribosomal RNA", at positions 28 to 507 of the family's 1533-position model. The record is from RNAcentral.